UACAGAGGUCCCAAGCGUUGUUCGGAUUUACUGGGCGUAAAGGGUGCGUAGGUGGCAGGGUAAGUCUGAUGUGAAAUCUCCGAGCCUAACUCGGAAAUGGCAUUGGAAACUACCUUGCUUGAGGGUUGGAGGGGAGACUGGAAUUCUAGGUGUAGCAGUGAAAUGCGUAGAUAUCUAGAGGAACACCAGUGGCGAAGGCGAGUCUCUGGACAACUCCUGACACUGAGGCACGAAAGCUAGGGGAGCAAACAGG
This 253-nucleotide ribosomal RNA is filed under the name uncultured bacterium. RNAcentral's name for it is "partial 16S ribosomal RNA". It matches the Rfam family "Bacterial small subunit ribosomal RNA", at positions 524 to 776 of the family's 1533-position model. The record is from RNAcentral.